Caretta caretta (loggerhead turtle) is the source of this 6694-nucleotide non-coding RNA. The record is from RefSeq and is a predicted model, not a curated record. Lineage: Eukaryota; Metazoa; Chordata; Testudines; Cheloniidae.
GAGAGCCCGCUGUGAACAGAGCCGGAAUUGGACGGCAGUUGGGGGCAGCUGUACCCUGCUAGAGGCGGCGCACGGACCCCACCCACCUGCACGAUGGUCCCACCACCCCCCAGACACUGCACCACACCAGCUCAGGCGCACGAGAGACAGCGUCCACGAGAGAUAUUGUCUCCAGAAGCGAGAUUGACAGGAGCCUGAGCCAAUGAGAGGGCGCCUCUCGGCAAGUUGGCGGUUGGCCUGCCGCGGAGGACCAUUUGGCCAAUGGGCAGCCAGGCGAGCUGCAGUGGGCGGGCUCUCCGAGUAGCUGGCGGAUGGAGCGGCGGCCGCUGCUCGACAGGGUGGGCGGGGGCGGUGCGGGCUGAGGAGCUCGCGGGCCUUUAGGCGCCGCCUCAGCCCCUGCCGGCGAGGAAGCGCGAGCAGCGGCGGUUCACCCCCCGCGCGCGAGAGCCCAGGUGGCCCGGACCCAGGAGUAGAAGCAUAAAGAAGUUUGCUUUAUGAAGGCUAAUGAGUGACUCAAGUAACAGUUUGAAGCGGCAUAACUGCUGGACUGGUUUUACAGAGCUUUUGAAACGAGAGAUCUACAUCUCUCAUUCUUGUUGGUCAAGUGACGCUAAUGGUGGAAUAAACUGACUUCAGUACAACUGAUCAAUCCAAAUUGCAAGUACCGUAUAAACAAGUGUGAUGUUGAAAUGAGAUGAGGCUCCGAAAUGGAACUGUGGCCACUGUGUUAGUUUUCAUCACUUUUCUCAGUUUGUCCUGGUACACUGCAUGGCAAAAUGGUAAAGAAAAGCUGAUUGCUUAUCAACGGGAAUUUCAUGCUUUAAAGGAACGUCUUCGCAUUGCUGAGCAUAGGACCCUGCAGCGUUCCUCUGAGCUAAAUGCCAUCUUGGAGCAAUUCAGACGUGCAGUAGCAGAAACAAAUGGAAGUAAGGAUGCAUUAAACAAUUUUUCAGAUGAAACACUGAAAUUGUUAAAAGAGCUAAUAAGCAGAAAAUCUCUUCAAGUGCCGAAUAUCUAUUACCAUUUGCCUCAUUUGUUGAAGAAUGAAGGAAGCCUUCAGCCUUCUGUGCAGAUUGGCCUGGGACGAACAGGCGUUUCAAUUGUAAUGGGAAUUCCCACCGUGAAGAGAAAAGUAAAGUCUUACCUUACAGAAACUCUUCACUCCCUUAUUGAUAAAUUGUCUCCAGAAGAGAAACUGGAUUGUGUUAUGGUUGUCUUCAUAGGAGAGACAGAUCUUGACUAUGUACACAGCGUUGUAGCAAUCCUGGAGAAAGAAUUUUCUACAGAAAUCAGUUCUGGCUUGGUGGAAAUAAUAUCCCCACCUGCAACUUACUAUCCUGACUUGACAAAUUUAAAAGAGACAUUUGGAGACUCAAAAGAAAGAGUCAGAUGGCGAACAAAACAAAACUUGGACUAUUGUUUUCUUAUGAUGUAUGCCCAGAAAAAGGGCAUUUAUUAUAUUCAGCUUGAAGAUGACAUUGUUGUCAAGCAGAAUUAUUUCAGCACGAUAAAAAAUUUUGCACUUCAACUCUCUUCUGAGGAUUGGAUGAUUUUAGAAUUUUCUCAGCUGGGUUUCAUUGGUAAAAUGUUCCAAGCUCCAGAUAUCACUCUUAUUGUAGAGUUCAUAUUUAUGUUUUAUAAGGAGAAACCUAUUGAUUGGCUCUUAGAUCAUAUACUCUGGGUGAAAGUCUGCAACCCUGAAAAAGAUGCAAAACAUUGUGAUAGACAGAAAUCUAAUCUACGAAUACGCUUCAGGCCUUCUCUUUUCCAACAUGUUGGCCUGCACUCCUCCCUAGCAGGAAAGAUCCAGAAACUCACGGAUAAAGACUUCCUGAAACCAUUAUUACAUAAAAUUCAUGUGAAUCCACCGGCAGAAGUUUCUACAUCUUUAAAAGUCUACCAAGGACAUACACUGGAAAAAACCUAUAUGGGAGAGGAUUUUUUCUGGGCUGUUACACCAAUUGCUGGGGAUUAUAUCCUAUUUAAAUUUGACAAACCAGUCAACGUAGAAAGAUACUUCUUUCGUAGUGGCAAUCCAGAGCAUCCAGGAGAUAUUCUACUAAAUACUACAGUGGAGGUUCUGCCUUUUAAGACCUUAUUUACAAAGAGCAGACUUUCAUUCAGAAGAAGGCUUGGUAAAAGGAAGAUAGGUAAUCUGGAGGAGAACAGUCUUUAUUCAUCUAUUUUUGUUUAGCUGCUGUUUUGUUUUGUUUUAAGAAUUGGAUUUUGGAGGAAUUGGCUUCACUCCGCUUCCUCAUUUUUCAUCCACUGAGUGUCCAGCCUUAAAGAUCCUGCAUAAAUCCAGCUAAGCAGAUAUCUUGGCAUCUUAAUUGUCAAGUUAAUAGAACAGAGUGUGAAACGUUCUGUUCCUUCUACACAACCAACCUGGAUUUUACCUCAAGAUGGCAAUGCAGUGAAUAAAGACCAUUCCAGUCUGAUGUCAGACUCUAACCACUGUACCUAAAGGAGAAUCUUUAGUCUUUUUCACCACAAAAAUUUCUAUUCCAAUAGCAAAGACAUUACUUCAAAAAGAGGGUUAUUUCAGUCAGUAUGAAAAGAGUAAUCUAAAGUAUUUGUGUCCAAUUUCAUUGCAGUUGAUACACAUCUGAUGCAGAUAUUUUUAGCUGGAAGAACCCUGACCAUUGUGUCUGGAAGAUUAACAUAUGAUGAUUCAAAGUGAUAUCAGAGCAGUGAUCUUGCUAGUAUUCCACUCUCCCCUACUUUAUUCCCACUGCAUCCCCCACACAAAUCCUACCUUCACUCAUGAGAUAUUACUUCACAGUUUUAAUCGAAACAAGACCCUCUUUCCUCUCCCCACUUCCUUGUGUUGUGAGAGGCCAAACUUAUUGAUGCUCAUAGAUAUAUUACAAGAGUGAAAUUAUAAAAAAAGAAAUAACUGCUCAAAAUGCAAAAAUUAUUUGGAAAGCUGCAUAAUUUCACAAUAGAAAUAUCUUUAGCCAAAUUCAGAACUGGCAUAAAGAGGCGUUAAAUGGAGUUGUACCCGAAUUAGGCCUGAAUUUGGCUCAUCAUAUUUACAUUCAACUGGGUAGAGUUAAUUUGAUUUAAGUUCACUAGUUUACCGUGGAGGUCAGCUGGAAAAGAUAGGAAACAUUUCAGACAGGAGCCAGGUAAAGAGUGGUGUAUCUUGAUAUCCCUUUCUCCUAGUGUUUGAUUCUUGUUGUUUCGUCAAGAAAAUUUUUCUUUUAAAAAAAUCCAUAUAUUUAUCAUGUAUACAAUUCUAAACAUCAUUAAAAUUAUUAAUUUUAAUACAGUUUACAUUUCAUCAUACUAUUUUACAUGUCUAAAUAAAGCCCAAAGAUGUAUAGAAAGACAAUUAGAAGCCUUUAAACGGGGUUAAAAUACGUUGCCAACUCUUGUGAUUUUUAUCGUGAGUCUUGCCAUAUUCAUUGUUUUUUUAAAUCCUUAGUUUCUCAAGUCAAGCGAUUACAUGAAGGCAUUAGCAUUUUUAAAGGAAAACAAAAAAUAAAGUAAUUUUCUAGCCCUUCUGAUUGCAGAGAAAACUUUGAAAAGUUUGAAAGCGAUAUAUCUUGAAUUUAGCAAAGCUUUUGAUACAGUCUCCCACAGUAUUCUUGCCAGCAAGGUAAAAAAGUAUGGAUUGGAUGAAUGAAUUAUAAGGUGGAUAGAAAGCUGGCUAAAUGGUUGGGCUCAACGGGUAGCAAUCAAGGCUCAAUGUCUAGUUGGCAGCCGGUAUCAAGCAGAGUGCCCCAGGGGUCUGUCCUGGGGCCGGUUUUGUUCAGCAUCUUCAUUAAUGAUCUGGAUGAUGGGAUGGAUUGCACCCUCAGCAGGUUUGCGGAUGACACUAAGCUGGGGGGAGAGGUAGAUAUGCUGGAGGGUAGGGAUAAGAUCCAGAGUGACCUAGACAAAUUGGAGGAUUGGGCCAAAAGAAAUCUGAUGAGGUUCAACAAGGACAAGUGCAGAGUCCUGCACUUAGGGCAGAAGAAUCCCAUGCACUGCUACAGGCUGGGAACCGACUGGCUAAGCAGCAGUUCUGCAGAAAAGGACCUCGGAAAUUACAGUGGAUGAGAAGCUGGCUAUGAGUCGACAAUGUGCCCUUGUUGCAAGAAGGCUAACGGUAUAUUAGGCUACAUUAGUAGGAACGUUACCAGCAGAUCGAGGGAAGUGAUUAUUCCCCUCUAUUUGGCACUGGUGAGGCCACAUCUGGAGUAUUGCAUCCAGUUUUGGGCCUCCCACUACAGAAAGGAUUUGGACAAAUUGGAGAGAGUCCAGCAGAGGGCAACGAAAAUGAUUAGGAGGAUGGGGCACAUGAUUUAUGAGGAGAGGCUGAGGGAACUGGGGCUUAUUUAGUCUGCAGAAGAAAAGAGUGAGGUGGGAUUUGAUGGCAGCCUUCAACUACCUGAAGGGGCGUUCCAAAGAGGAUGGAGCUAGGCUGUUCUCAGUGGUGGCAGAUGACAGAACAAGGAGCAGUGGUCUUAAGUUGCAGUGCGGAAGGUCUAGGUUGGAUAUUAGGAAAAACUAUUUCACUAGGUGGGUGGUGAAGCACUGGAAUGGGUUGCCUAGGGAGGUGGUGAAAUCUCCUUCCUUAGAGGUUUUUGAGGCCUGGCUUGACAAAGUCCUGGCUGGGAUGAUUUAGUUGGGGUUGGUCUUGCUCUGAGCAGGGGGUUGGACUAGAUGACCACCUGAGGUUUCUUCCAACCCUAAUCUUCUAUGAUUCUAUGACCUGAGGACUUGUCUACAUAUGGAUAUCCAGAAAAAUUAAUCCAAAUUAACUAAAGGUGUGAAUUUGAAGGAGAUUAGCUAAACCACAUUCACUUCCAAAGUGAAUUAAAAUAAACCCAAUUAAGGCCACUUUAAUUCUGAAUAACAGUGUCCAAACAGUGAUUUAAUGUGCUUUAAUUAAACCACUUCACCUUUAGAUAAUUUAGAUUAAUUUUCCUGGAUGUCCCCAUGUAAGAUAGCUGUUGGUAUACCAUAAAGGCUCAUAAUAUAAAAGGCAAAAAAAGAACUCAACAUAUAUUUGAACUCAUUAUUUUUCAGAUAAACUCCUAAUUAUUGAGGCCUGACAUAGGAUGUUUGAACACCUGAGUUUGGCAAUACUGUAACUCUAAGCCAACAGUUUAUAGACGCAACUGCUCUAUUCAAAAAUCCUCCAUACAAGAAAGGAAAGAUCAUCCAUAAACCGAAUAUAUAUUCCCCACUUCUCCAGGCAUGUUAUUCCUGCGUUCAGUUUUCCCUUUGCUUUGUUCUUGCCGAGGCAGGGUCAGUUUUGUCAAUCAUUGGGUAGGGACUGGUUCCCCAUUCAAAAAAAAACCUGCAAUUCAGUCUGCCUUCUGUGAGCAGAAACAGGCUGUUUCCAGACUUCCUGCUUCCCAAAAAUAGAGAGCAUAGGAAAAAAGCCUACUUAAAAUUGCCAGUUUGGUUCUGAAUAUCAUGCUCUUUUUUCCCCGUCAUGUUUAAUGAUAAAGCUUUCAGGUUUUGUUUCUCAGGGCUUAGGCUAGGCUUGCUCAAAAGCAUGCGUCAACAGCCUCACCCACAGGAGCUCGAGAUAUAGUAGCAAAACCCAAGAAGUAGCCUGGAACAAAGGGAUCCUAAGAUCAUCUCCCCUUCAGCCUUGCCUGGCUGAGGGAGUUUUGCAUCUUCUAUACCCAGGAGCAGCCUUUGCUCUCCUGCUCUGGCUGCUAGCUAUAACUACCAGCUCCCAGUGCUGGCCACCAGUAGGAACAGCUCCCCUGCUCUCAGCACAGUGCCACAGCACGAAGCAUACACCCUACCAGCACUGAGGUAACAGCACUACAAUGGCUGGUGGCCCUGCAGGAAGCAGACCCAGCUCAGGUGGCCCCAAGGAUUUCCAGCUCUGUUUUGACCUGUGAACCACAGACUCCAGCAGGGCUGAAUCCAAAUUCAGUGGCUGAUGCCGGACAGAAACUUAAAGCUGAGUUCAGUAAAAAUCUUUCAAAUCCCAGAAUUCCUACAGGAUGGAUUGGCUCUAGGUCUUAAAGCAACACACUCCAAAAACCAUUUUCAGCCAUCUUUUUAGUAAUAGAAGAAGCAAACCUUAAUGGAUUUCCUCUCAUCCACCUAUCAAGCAUUUUUGAUUAAUCACCAGGAAUUCCCCAGAGUAGAGCCUUUGGAUUUAGAUCAUCUGACCCUGGAUGAAAUUACUAGACUGUUGUUCACAUUCCUUUCUUCAGUUUCAUUUUUCUAUCUCUUUAUUAAAGUGAGUUUACUAGUGUCCAUCCCCUUUGUACAUGGAGGCAUUGUGCCUUUUCUAGAGGCAUUGUGUAUUGAAGAAUCACAAAUAUUGUAUUUUUCAUAUUGAUCAGGUGGCUCUUCAUCUCAAAUAUUUUUUUACCAAAAGUAAAUUAGGAAUUUCACAGAUCCCAGGAGAUAGUCCUCCCAUCAUUCUCUACAAAGCCUACGCAUCCAAAAGAAAAGCUCCAGCAAAUAUUUUAUUUCCACCAAGCUGUUAAGAUCUACCUGGCAAGAAUGUAAAUGUAUAGAAAAGUCAUCCUGCAACAAGAGCCAAAAAAGAGCAUCUAAAGCAUUAAUUGCUAGAUAGCUGAAGUAUUGCAUUAAAGAAGCCUAUGAAGCAGGCUUACAGGAAAGAUAAAGCUCUUCAGACAAGGACAUUAUUUACUUCCUGGACUGAAUGAAGACUUGGUAUUAAGCAAAGAAACCAAAGACAAACGCUUAGAGGACGGUUAUUUCAGGAUAG